RNAcentral lists this ribosomal RNA (253 nucleotides) under uncultured bacterium. Its description in RNAcentral is "partial 16S ribosomal RNA". It matches the Rfam family "Bacterial small subunit ribosomal RNA", at positions 524 to 776 of the family's 1533-position model. The record is from RNAcentral.
UACGGAGGGGACUAGCGUUGUUCGGAAUUACUGGGCGUAAAGCGCACGUAGGCGGAUUUGUAAGUCAGGGGUGAAAUCCCGGGGCUCAACCUCGGAACUGCCUUUGAUACUGCAAAUCUCGAGUCCGGAAGAGGUGAGUGGAAUUCCUAGUGUAGAGGUGAAAUUCGUAGAUAUUAGGAAGAACACCAGUGGCGAAGGCGGCUCACUGGUCCGGUACUGACGCUGAGGUGCGAAAGUGUGGGGAGCGAACAGG